GCGAGCGUUAUUCGGAAUUAUUGGGCGUAAAGAGUGCGCAGGCGGUUUUUUAAGUCGGAUGUGAAAUCCCCGGGCUCAACCCCGGACCUGCAUUCGAAACUGCCAAGCUAGAGUGUGUCAGAGGGGGGUGGAAUUCCACGUGUAGCGGUGAAAUGCGCAGAGAUAUGGAGGAACACCAAUGGCGAAGGCAGCCCCCUGGGCCAUCACUGACGCUCAGGCACGAAAGCGUGGGGAGCAAACAGGAUUAGAUACCCCGGUAG
This 260-nucleotide ribosomal RNA is filed under the name uncultured Nitrosomonadaceae bacterium. Its description in RNAcentral is "partial 16S ribosomal RNA". It matches the Rfam family "Bacterial small subunit ribosomal RNA", at positions 534 to 793 of the family's 1533-position model. Lineage: Bacteria; Pseudomonadati; Pseudomonadota; Betaproteobacteria; Nitrosomonadales; Nitrosomonadaceae. The record is from RNAcentral.